UAAAAUUAAACAUUAUUGCCAAAGACAGUAGGUGCUUACUAAAGCUUAAUUUCCUACCGAGGUGUAUGAUAUAAAGCAGCGUUGCACGUCUGUACGCUCGUUUUAGAAAACCCUCUAUGUCUUAUUUACCACAUAGAGGGUCUUCUUAUGUUGCA
The sequence is a regulatory RNA element, 155 nucleotides long. It matches the Rfam family "Ribosomal protein L10 leader". Rfam says of the family: This family is a putative r-protein leader autoregulatory structure found in B. subtilis and other low-GC Gram-positive bacteria. The record is from Rfam.